RNAcentral lists this long non-coding RNA (290 nucleotides) under Brachypodium distachyon (stiff brome). RNAcentral describes it as "long non-coding RNA (BDIS_LNC003820)". The record is from RNAcentral. Lineage: Eukaryota; Viridiplantae; Streptophyta; Magnoliopsida; Poales; Poaceae.
GACAACAGAUUGUUAGGAUUUCAAAUCAACUACCGUAUAUUAAAUAUUUCAGAAAGAAUGCAGGGUCCUAUAGUCCUACGAUUUAGAAUCCGAUCUGACCAGAAAUAAAAAACAAUCGAAGAAACAGGAAAAGAUUGCAACACGAAAAAGGGCAGACUUUUGAAGAAGAAGGAGGAGAAGAAGAAAUACUUCAAGCGACAUCAUUGUCUCUGACAUGAAAAUAACUAUCGAGGAAAUAGGAAAAGAUUGCAACAAGGAAAAGAGGCAGGCUCCGGAAGAAGAUUUCAAAC